GACGAACGCUGGCGGCGUGCCUAAUACAUGCAAGUAGAACGCUGAAGGAGGAGCUUGCUUCUCUGGAUGAGUUGCGAACGGGUGAGUAACGCGUAGGUAACCUGCCUGGUAGCGGGGGAUAACUAUUGGAAACGAUAGCUAAUACCGCAUAAUAGUAGAUGUUGCAUGACAUUUGCUUAAAAGGUGCAAUUGCAUCACUACCAGAUGGACCUGCGUUGUAUUAGCUAGUUGGUGGGGUAACGGCUCACCAAGGCGACGAUACAUAGCCGACCUGAGAGGGUGAUCGGCCACACUGGGACUGAGACACGGCCCAGACUCCUACGGGAGGCAGCAGUAGGGAAUCUUCGGCAAUGGACGGAAGUCUGACCGAGCAAGGCCGCGUGAGUGAAGAAGGUUUUCGGAUCGUAAAGCUCUGUUGUAAGAGAAGAACGAGUGUGAGAGUGGAAAGUUCACACUGUGACGGUAUCUUACCAGAAAGGGACGGCUAACUACGUG
RNAcentral lists this ribosomal RNA (495 nucleotides) under uncultured bacterium. RNAcentral describes it as "partial 16S ribosomal RNA". It matches the Rfam family "Bacterial small subunit ribosomal RNA", at positions 28 to 507 of the family's 1533-position model. The record is from RNAcentral.